Molecule: transfer RNA, 68 nt
Filed under: Sminthopsis douglasi (Julia Creek dunnart)
Lineage: Eukaryota; Metazoa; Chordata; Mammalia; Dasyuromorphia; Dasyuridae
Description: transfer RNA-Thr
Rfam family: tRNA
About the family: Transfer RNA (tRNA) molecules are approximately 80 nucleotides in length. Their secondary structure includes four short double-helical elements and three loops (D, anti-codon, and T loops).
Source: RNAcentral
GUCCAAGUAAUUUAAUAAAAAUACUGGCCUUGUAAGCCAGCAAUGAAGGUAAACCCCUCCCUAGGACA